AUGGUUGGGCGGCUCCUUUCUUCAGAUCUCAGCCACAGUGGAUUGGGAGACCAUUAUGAGAAUUCCCACUGGGGACAGCAGCCCGCUUUCAGGAGUGAAGGCAACUGCAGCUGGGAUAAAGUGAUAAUAGACAGGACUGACAAGGAAGCGUGGCCUUCCAUUACCGGAGCUGAGACUGAGUCUGCCUCAGAAUGUACUACAGACACUGACUCUGCCUCCAACUGUGGCUCAGAGAACAGUAGCAUGGCUACAGGGAGUGCCCAAGGCAACUUCACUGGACAUACAAAGAAAACUAAUGGCAAUAAUGGCGCCAACGGAGCACUCGUCCAAAGCACUUCUAACCAGAGUGCCCUUGGAGCUGGUGGAGCAAACGGUAACGGCAACUCGGCCAGAGUGUGGGGAGUGGCUGCGGGCUCCAGCUCUGGCCUAGCUCACUGCUCUGCCAGCGGUGGGGAUGGAAAGAUGGACAACAUGAUGGGAGAUGGUAGAAGUCAGAACUGCUGGGGUGCUUCCAACUCGAAUGCUGGCAUUAAUCUUAACCUUAACCCUAAUGCCAAUCCAGCUGCCUGGCCUGUACUUGGACAUGAAGGAACUGUGGGAGCAGGCAACCCUUCCAGUAUUUGCAGUCCAGUCAGUGCCAUAGGUCAGAACAUGGGCAACCAGAAUGGGAACCCAACAGGCACCUUAGGUGCUUGGGGAAACUUGCUGCCGCAAGAGAGCACAGAACCACAAACGUCCACUUCUCAGAAUGUGUCUUUCAGCGUACAACCUCAGAACCUUAACACUGAUGGACCAAAUAACACUAACCCCAUGAACUCUUCACCAAACCCUAUCAAUGCAAUGCAGACAAAUGGACUGCCGAACUGGGGGAUGGCUGUUGGUAUGGGGGCCAUCAUCCCGCCCCACCUGCAAGGCCUUCCUGGUGCUAACGGAACAUCAGUUUCUCAAGUCAGCGGGGGCAGUGGUGAAGGAAUAGGCAGUUCAGUGUGGGGGAUGUCCCCAGGUAAUCCUGCCACAGGAAACAGCAAUUCUGGGUUCAGUCAGGGGAAUGGAGACACUGUGAACUCAGCAUUAAGUGCUAAACAAAAUGGAUCCAGCAGUGCUGCGCAGAAGGAAGGAAAUGGAGCGAGCGCGUGGGAUUCGGGGCCUCCCUCUGGUCCUGGGGUACUGGCGUGGGGCAGGGGCGGUGGCAACGGCGGUGUUGGUAGCAUGCAUUCUGGAGCUUGGGGCCACCCCAACCGUAACACCAGUAACGGUGUGAACGGUGACUGGGGCAAGCCCCCAAACCAGCAUUCCAACAGCGACAUCAAUGGGAAAGGAUCAGCAGGGUGGGAUAGCUCUAGUGUUACCAGUCCGAAUCCUGCCAUGCAGCAGGGCAAUGAACAAAUAAACUCUUGGGCCAAAGCUGCAGCAUCUGGCACCACAGCUAGCGAAGGAAGUAACGACAGCGGUGGGAGUCAAAACGAAGGCAGUACUGGGAGGGAGGGGGCUGGAGAGGGCAGGAGGAGAGACAAAGGGAUGAUAGACCAAGGGCAAGUUCAGUUGCCAAGAAAUGACCUUGACCCCAGGGUCCUGUCCAAUACGGGGUGGGGACAGACCCCUGUCAAGCAAAACACUGCCUGGGAAUUUGAAGAGUCCCCAAGGUCUGAACGAAAGAAUGACAAUGGAACAGAGGCCUGGGGUUGUGCAGCUACUCAAUCUUCAAACUCAGGGGGGAAGAACGAUGGGUCCAUCAUGAACAGUACAAAUACCUCUUCAGUAUCUGGGUGGGUCAACUCUCCACCGGCAGCUGUUCCAACAAAUACAGGUUGGGGAGACAAUAACAACAAAGCACCAAAUGGCCCAGGGGGGUGGGGAGAGUCAGCAAGCUCUACUACUGUUAAUAAUGCUGCUGCUGCCAAAAGCGGCCACGCUUGGAGUGGGACCGCAAAUCAGGAGGACAAAUCACCUACCUGGGGUGAACCUCAGAAACCCAAAUCUCAAAACUGGGGAGAUGGACAGAAAUCAAAUCCAAGCUGGACUUCAGGAGGUGGAGAUUGGACAGAUUCAUCAUCUGUUCCUGGACACUUGGGUGAUGGGAAGAAGAAUGGAUCUGGAUGGGAUUCUGACAAUAGAUCAGGGUCUGGUUGGAACGAUUCCACGAGGUCUGGGACCAGUGGUUGGGGAAAUGGCACAAACAGCAAGGCUAAUACAGGUACAAGUUGGGGGGAAUCUUUAAAGCCAAGCCCCCAACAAAAUUGGGCUAAUAAACCCCAGGACAACAAUGUGAGUAACUGGGGAGGAGCUGCUUCUGUAAAACAGACGGGGUCAGGGUGGGUUGGUGGGCCAGUGCCAGCCAAACAAAAAGAGAACUGUGAGGCAACUGGCUGGGAAGAGCCAUCUCCACCGUCCAUUCGCCGCAAGAUGGAAAUCGAUGAUGGUACCUCAGCUUGGGGCGACCCAAAUUACAACAACAACAAGACUGUAAACAUGUGGGAUAGAAAUAAUCCUAUAAUUCAGAGCAGUACCACAACCAAUACCACCACCACUAGCACCAUUAUCAACACAAAUAUGGUUGAACCUCAGCCAUCGCACCAGUCAAGUGCCCAGCCGAACCGGUCCCCGCUGCUUGGUCCAGGUAUGAAAAUAGUUUUAUAA
Non-coding RNA from Balearica regulorum gibbericeps (East African grey crowned-crane), 2637 nucleotides. The record is from RefSeq and is a predicted model, not a curated record. Lineage: Eukaryota; Metazoa; Chordata; Aves; Gruiformes; Gruidae.